UGGUUAUUAAAUAGGUACAUAGUUCAAUAGUAAUAUCCUCUAAAACGCUCUGGUGACAAACAAACUUUGCUGCCCUGUUUCCAAUUGUCCACAUGGCUGGGAGAACCUAUUCAAGAUGUUUCAAGAAUGGGGUCCAACAACGCAGCAAGAGGCAAUCGUUGUGCAGGAGAUCUUCACCUCCUACUUCUUCGAAGAGGGUGCUGUUCCCUGGCAACACCAUAGACUACACUACGCACAACCAAAGGCUCUUUUUAAGAGUCAUUCACAUUGGAAUAAGAGUAUUCUUCCAUUUACGUAGCUGUCAACUGCAGUUAUUCAAUUCCCAGUUUCUACUUCACAGGUGAGGGUGCCGUUUAGGUAAGGGUGUGAUGUCUGUACAAAAAAUUAACAGGCUAUUUUAAAUCACCCAUAUUGAAAAAAAUGUGAACAAUUAGAAACCCUAUAACCCACACACUCAUGUAUCAAUCUGAUUGAUGCAUUGUGUUGUGCAGUAAGCAGGUUCAGGUGUAACUGUGGCUCCUUCCACCUUCAAAGAAUAGGCAAGAGGGCCAACCAUGGAGAAUAGUAAGACACUUCAUUAUUUUUUAUAACUACACUAUAUUGUUUGUCCUUGUGUUUCCGUUCAUGUUUUUCAGCAUAAAGUACUCUGCAGCCACUUAGUGUGGUGUGGACACAAGGUGAGGCCACACACAGAUUGAACACUGUCUCUUUAACUACCUUAUCUUCUCAAUAAUUCUCUCUCCUUCACUUCAUCCCUCUCCCCUCUUCUCCCUAAAUCCUCUAGGGUUAUAUCAGCAGUGUCAGUGAAACCCUGAGGCAUUAAGACUGGCUACAUAGAGAGAGGGCACAGCAUGAUCAGAGUCUCUCAUCUGCUGGUAUGUUUUGAUGUGAGAGAGGAUGCCAACCCCCAGUCCCAUCAUCACCACCUCACCCACUGUUAAGAUAACCUUCAGGCUGACUAGAGACACUAUUAUGUAAUUGUGAUGAACUGAGAAAAUAUUUGAGUUGCACUGGUUCAUUAGUCAUAUGCUGCCUUCCCUGCUCCUAAGUUCAUACCUCUUUCCCUUUGUCUUUGACACCUCUCUAGCCACAUUUCUUCCUGUUUUUAUAAUGCACAACAGAUGUGCAUUGAAGUACAGAUUAUAUUUGUAAUGCAUGUAUUUAUAACCCUUGGAUAAUGAACUUCCAGUAAAGCGUUUCACAUUCUCUACU
Oncorhynchus kisutch (coho salmon) is the source of this 1212-nucleotide long non-coding RNA. RefSeq lists it as uncharacterized. NCBI's taxonomy places the organism in Eukaryota, Metazoa, Chordata, Actinopteri, Salmoniformes, Salmonidae. The transcript is spliced from 3 exons. The record is from RefSeq and is a predicted model, not a curated record.